UUGACUUUAAAUCUGGGCCACAUGAUUAGUUAACUAGACUUUAGUAGUCAGAUCUUGUGGCUCUUACUUUUUCACUUGUUUUAAGUUUAGUUUUAUUUUGUUUUUAAUUCUUUUUUCUUUCAAAAAUCAUUUUAAAUAGCUCCUUUAUUAUUUUUUAGUCCAACUUUUUUUCAUAAUUUCGUAAAAAUAUUUUCUACACAUAUAAUUUUUCCAUAUUUUUAAAGAUCAUUUUGCAUUUAAUUCAUAUUUUCUCUUGUUUCUCAUUUAAUUUUAUUUUAACAUUUU
Molecule: long non-coding RNA, 285 nt
Filed under: Lathyrus oleraceus (garden pea)
Lineage: Eukaryota; Viridiplantae; Streptophyta; Magnoliopsida; Fabales; Fabaceae
Description: Pisum sativum (pea) long non-coding RNA (PSAT_LNC026442)
Source: RNAcentral